CUCAUGCCAGAGGGAGGCACAAGGGGAUGGGGUGCAGGGAGUCCAGGUCCCCUGCACUCUGUCUCCCCAUCUGCACAGCUAGGGAGCCUGAACUGAAUACCUCCAGGGUCUCUUCCCACUGUCUCUCUAGCCUUCUGCACAUUCUGCACACAGAGGCAGGGGGUCCCCACAGCUAAGUCUCUUGUCUCAUUGGUCUUCCUGCAAGUGCCUGUAGCUACCAGGGGCCCCCUUCCCACUAUGGGCAGCCAGGUGCUCUGCUGGGUGCUCCUUUGUCUCCUGGGAGCAGCCACAUUGGGUGGUAGAAUCAUGCAGACCCCAACAUACCUGUCCAGAGAGGAAGGACGAGAUGCGACCCUGCACUGUGAACAGGACUUUGGUCAUGACUACAUGUACUGGUACCGACAGGACCCCGGGCAGGGGCUGAGGCUGAUCUACUUCUCCCCAGAAGAAAAAAUUAUUGAGAAUGGAGACCUGGCUGCAGGCUACCAGGCCUCUCGAGAUAAGGAGGCAUCCUUUCCUCUCACUGUGCCAUCCCCCCAGAAGAACCAGACAGCUGUGUACCUCUGUGCCAGCAGCUUAGACACAGUGGGGCACAGCCACCUCCUGUGGACGCACACGGAUACUGCUGCGCUGAGCUACAGGGGUCGGAAAGAGACAGCGGCCCCUGAGUAG
Non-coding RNA from Phyllostomus discolor (pale spear-nosed bat), 672 nucleotides. The record is from the annotation of a RefSeq genome assembly. NCBI's taxonomy places the organism in Eukaryota, Metazoa, Chordata, Mammalia, Chiroptera, Phyllostomidae.